This 2483-nucleotide long non-coding RNA is filed under the name Sus scrofa (pig). Lineage: Eukaryota; Metazoa; Chordata; Mammalia; Artiodactyla; Suidae. The record is from RNAcentral.
CUUUUCUAGGGCCACUCCCGAGGCAUAUGGAGGUUCCCAGGAUAGGGGUCUAAUCAGAGCUGUAGCUGCCAGCCUACGCCAGAGCCACAGCAACGCAGGAUCCGAGCCGCAUCUGCGACCUUCACCACAGCUCAUGGCAACGCCGGGUCCCCAACCCACUGAGCAAGGCCAGGGAUCGAACCUGCAACCUCAUAGUUCCUAGUCAGAUUCGUCAACCACUGCACCACAACGGGAACUCCAGGCUACACUUUUUAUUGCAAUUGCUACCUUGAAUUCAUAUGCCAAAUUCCUGCAAGCUGGCUGUUCCCAUCCUGCCAUCCCACUCCAACCGAAACUGCAAGUUUCAGAAGGCCAAAACAGAAAUCAUUUUCCUCCCAAACCUGCUUUCUGCUUAAUGGUGCCACUAUCCAUCCAAGCCAGAAAUCUGGGAGUCAUGCUUAAUUCCAGUCUCUCCAGCACUUUGUCAUGAUCACAUUGUCAAUGCAAUUUCACAAGUGUCACUGAAACUUGUCCUCUCCUUUUUCUCUGCACUGCCACUGCCUUAGUUCCAAUUCCAUCACCUCUCAUGAGCUUCACUGCUCCAAGCUAUUAAUCUCUGAAUCUAGAUUUCUUCCCCUCAACCUCAAAUUCACUCCCUGCCUUCUGCUAUUCUGGAGUCUUAUUUCUAAAAACUUAUCUUAAUCCCCAAUAUAAAAACUUUCUAAAGCUCCCAUUUGCCUUCAGGAUUAAGAUCAAAAUACUCAACAUGGAAUGACAAGCCCUCAGCAAUCUGCCUCCUAUCAGAGCUUUCAACCAGAACUCUUCACACACUGCCUUCUCUCCAUCUUCAUUAACCAGCAGGCUCCCUCAGGACUAGCUGUGGGACCUCUCAUACUCCUCACUCGCCUUCCACUCCUUCUCUGCCUAGGAGAGUCAUCCUACUCGUCCUUUGCGAUGCAGCUCAAAGACCAUCUCCUCCGAGAAUCUUAGAAGUAUUCGAGGCUCACCACCCUGUUAGCCAUUGCUCUUUGACAAUGCUCAUCACACUGUAUUACAAUCACAGAAUCACUGAUGCUCUAUUUUUCCCACUCGACGUGACCCUUGUGGAAGACGGUUCACAUUUUCCACACCUCUGAAUCACUGCCCCUAGCAAAGAGCCUUAGGUUCAGCGAUGCUAGAAAUUAAUGAUGUCACAGAAGUCUGCAUUACAUCAUCAAGCAUCAUCCAUUUUUACAGCAUUGUAUUCAGUUUUCCCCACUACUAUAUUUCUUUGAAUCAUAAGAUGCUGUCAAUGACUCAUCCCAAUUUCAGAAAUGUUAAGAAGUGAAAUACUGUGGUCUACAAAAUAAGCACAUUAUUUAAGUAACAGAUUAUAAACUUUAUCCUUAGUCAUCAGACUAAGAAGACAGUUUAAAAAUCCAAGUGUUGGAAAAUAACCUAAAAUAACUUAUAAAUGAAGAGAACACACAUAUGUUAUCUUAAAAUAUUACAAUCUCUUUCCUUUGAAAUGUUCAUUAAGGAACUCUUUGUUCUGUAUCCUUAUUGUGGUAGCCAGAACACAAAUCCAUAUCUAUUAAAAUUCAUAGAACUGUAAAAACAAAAUCAUGGAAGGCAUUGUAAAAUCUCCAUUAAAUAUGGCCCAUUUCUCCCCUCCCCCAACACUUCCAUGGACCUCAUCAGAAACCAAAAAAGACACUUGCUUCUCCCCUGACACUCAGUCCAUCUCAUGAGCGAUGACUCUGAAAUCUGGAGACACUCGUCUCCAGGCCCUGCCCCCGCUCCCCGCUCUCCACAUCCCAGACCAGGCUUCCAGCUGCUCACACAGGUCCUGUUCCCCUUACAGCCAAUUCUCUCAUCCCAGCUUUCCCAGCCCUGUGGCCACCAGCUCAAACCCACCUCUCUCCUCUCCCUCUCAACCUCCUCCCACUUCAUGCCAUCAACCAUAUGAUCAUCUCUCAUCCACUGCACCCUCUGAAAUAUGGGCUCAAUAGAGUGGGGAUAAGCGGAAAAGGAUUUGGCUUUUGUUCUGAUACUUUUAUCUACCAGGGCACAUAGGGUCUGCUUUGAGUGGUUAAAAACCACCUGAAUAUGAUAAGCACAGAACCUGGAAAUAAUCAGAUUUUCCUUGGGAAAAUGAACCAGCCUCAAUACUGGGGGAGGAGUGGGGGGCUAAGGGUUGGAACAAGCCUCACAAGAAGCAAGAAGCUUGAAAAUGUCACCAGCCCACACUUGUGGCUGUAUGUGAACAACCCACUGUAUCCUAGAAAUUUCCACACAUGCUUCAUUUGCUUGCCAGAAUGCCUAAAGGAAUCUGAAGGCAAUCGUAGGAGGACCCAUGCAGUCCAACCUACUUAUCACCUGAAUACAAGGAAUGUUCAGAUGGUGCUCACUUCGGCAGCACAUAUACUAAAAUUGGAACAAUACAGAGAAGAUUAGCAUGGCUCCUGCGCAAGGAUGAUACACAAAUUCGUGAAGCGUUCCAUAUUUAAAAAAAAAAAAAAGAA